UACAGAGGGGGCAAGCGUUGUUCGGAAUUACUGGGCGUAAAGGGCGCGUAGGCGGCCCGCUAAGUCGAACGUGAAAUCCCCGAGCUCAACUCGGGAACUGCGUCCGAUACUGGCGGGCUUGAAUCCGGGAGAGGGAUGCGGAAUUCCAGGUGUAGCGGUGAAAUGCGUAGAUAUCAUCAGGAACACCGGUGGCGAAAGCGGCUUACUGGGUCUCUUCUGACGCUGAGGUACGAAAGCUAGGGGAGCGAACGGG
This 253-nucleotide ribosomal RNA is filed under the name uncultured bacterium. Its description in RNAcentral is "partial 16S ribosomal RNA". It matches the Rfam family "Bacterial small subunit ribosomal RNA", at positions 524 to 776 of the family's 1533-position model. The record is from RNAcentral.